UCCAGGAUGAGCCUCAGCAUCACAACCUUGACUCUCUGUCUGCUCUGGGCAGCAGACGUCUCUGUGUCUCUGCUGAUCACUCAGUGGCCUGCACACAUUUCCAGUCAUCCCAACGUCUCUGCAGAAAUGAACUGCUACCAGAAUAAAUCUGAUUAUGAGUAUCUGUACUGGUACAGGCAGCAGAGAGGACGAGGCUUACAGUUAAUGGUGUCGUUAGUAGCAGGAUCUGUGUCGUAUGAAAAGGAAUUCUCGUCUGGUUUUAAAGCAGUGAGACUGGAGGAGAAGCACUGGUCUCUGAAGAUAAACGCGGUUCAAGAGGCAGACGAGGCCGUUUAUCUGUGUGCUGCUACUCGAGCUCUGUGUCAGUACGAAGCUUAUUUCGGCCCUGGGACUAAACUGACUGUUCUCGAAGAGGGACAUGAGGUCACUCCACCGAAUGUCACAGUCUUCUAUCCUUCAAAAAAGGAGUGUGAAGACAAGAAAGACCAGAAAAAGAAGACGAUAAAGAAGACGAUCGUCUGUGUGGCCAGUGGAUUCUACCCGGACCAUGUCACCUUCUCCUGGUUUUUAAACUCUGAAGGAGUCAGCUCAGGUGUGGCCACUGACAGCAGCGCCGUGAAAGAGCCACAGGGAAGCAAGACCUACAGUAUCAGCAGCAGGCUGAGUGUCUCUGCUGACAAGUGGUACAAAAUGGAGAAUGAGUUCAUCUGCACCGUCAGCUUCUUUAACGGGACAAAAUGGAUCAAUGAAACUGCUUCCGUCUUUGGGGAAGAAGGCAAAGUCAGAGGGCAUUACCUGAAGGUCACACAGAGCGCCAAACUCUGCUACACCGUCCUCAUCGUCAAGAGCUGUUUGUACGGAGGCUUCGUGGCUCUGCUGCUGCUGAAGCUUAAGUCUGCAGCGGGAAAACGGAAGAGCUGAGAGCUGAUCAAACAUCUGUGGAGGAGGACUGAUCAUGUCGGAGUCUGUAGAUAAAAUAUCUCCACAACUUCAUCUCUGAGUGUCAGAGCAUCACGGAUGUGUUGGUGGUUGUUAGAUGAUCUUGUUGGCCGUGUAAAUACAUUUCCCCUUAAAGCUUUUACUCCCCACUUCCCUAACUUCCCUAACUUCCCUAACUUCCCUAACUUCCCUGACUUUCUUUUACGACUAAAGUUUAAGGAUUGAGAGGAUGCAUGAGUUGAUCAACUUCUGCUUACAUCAAUAUAACAGCUCUGUAGAUUUAUUAUAAGUGUAUAAAUUCUUCUUCUUUGUGGUUGUAAACUGUUGAAUGUUUAAUUUCUCUUCACAAUAAAAGCUCAUAAGAGAA
This is a non-coding RNA of Notolabrus celidotus (New Zealand spotty), 1306 nucleotides long. The record is from the annotation of a RefSeq genome assembly. Lineage: Eukaryota; Metazoa; Chordata; Actinopteri; Labriformes; Labridae.